Pangasianodon hypophthalmus (striped catfish) is the source of this 2131-nucleotide long non-coding RNA. RefSeq lists it as uncharacterized. The record is from RefSeq and is a predicted model, not a curated record. The transcript is spliced from 4 exons. Lineage: Eukaryota; Metazoa; Chordata; Actinopteri; Siluriformes; Pangasiidae.
UUUUGUAUUGUGGCUACUGUGGUAGGCUGGAGGUCGACCUUUCCACCCACAUGCCCCACUUAUCGACCCACUUAUCGACCUUCCUGCCUCCCCAGUAGCAGUCCUGCUUUACAGUGCCCCACUUUGGCCUUGGAGUUUUACCCCUCAUGGGAUCGACACCUCGUCACACACGAUCACGUGUAUGUGUGUGUUAGUGUAUGUGUGUGUGUGCGUGUGUGUGUGUGUGUUAGUGUGUGAGAGCGUUGACGAGGUCAUCAAGCGGCGCCGUCUCCGAAGCCUCCAGCAGCCUGAAGGUGUGGCUGAAGGUGAUGAAGUGUGUGAGGAGGGUGUUGAGGUGCGGGUGGAUGUCCGCAGCCACGGCGUCUCUGUAGUGAGCGCUGUACAGGCCAUCCACUCGUGCUGGUCCAGCCCAUGUGGCAGAGCGGACAGUGUGAGCAGGUCGACGUCUGAAAUGCGGUCUCUCAGGAAGUGAUCCUGCAGUUAAAAAAUCGCAGCUUGUUCCGCAUGUUACCGAGAAACCGGAAAGAAGAAGCGUAAACUCCUCUGUCCUGAAGAUGUCGGAAAACUCAAAGUUACAGCUUUACCUCUGACUGUUACAAAGCGCUGACACUGGAGACUCCUUCCAUACAUGUUAAAUAUUUUUAGAGAAAACUGAAAACAUACGAUUAUACUUUUUUUUGUUUUUUAUUAUUAUCAGUGGAGCGUCCGCUGUACAAGUCCCUGUGAAUGAGCUGUUACUAAAGAAACGAUAACAUUGUGCUAAUGUGCUUAUUUUACUGCAUGCAAAACAGUCAAGUCACACUGCAAACACACACACACACACACACACACAAUCGCUGUGUUUCCGUGUGUAUUUACACACCGAGGGAAAGUCCUGAUAACGUCGAUCCUGACUUCAAUGUAAAACCUUGAAACGCCAAACGUUCACAGGAUAGAACUCUGUGUGUGUGUGUGUGUGUGUGUGUGUGUGUGUGUGUGUGUGUGUGUGUGUGUGUGUGUGUGUGUGGCCUUGUUCUGACUGAUAAACACACACGUCGCAGAGUGUAUCUAAUUCCUGUAUGAGUGUGUGUGUGUGUCGUUUCCUAUUACGUGCUAAAGCAACAGACCACUGUCAGUGAAAUGUAAAUAAAAUGAAAAUUCUCUGUACGUUUUUCCAGCACACACACCCACACACACACACACACACACACAUUUGAAAAAAAUCCUCUAAAAAUACAAAAAGUUAGCUUUAGUGACAUGAAUAUUAUUUAAAAACUUAGAACCCUUAAGGUUCCUCAGUUCCAAAGAACCUUUGAAGAACCCCUUUUAACUGUGCGCUACUAACUCCAAAUUAUUGCUCAUUAUUUUCUUCUCAAUAUCUAGAACCUUUCAGAAGUUUAACAUUUAGCUCUUGGUACUUGGUGCACUCAUAAAAAAAAAAGGUUCUUCAAGGGUUCUUUAAGGGUUAAUUUGAUAUUUAAGGGUUCUUAGUUUCCAAAAAGGAUACACUUUAAACCCAUUCUGAUAAGGAAACCCUCUGUGGAAGAGUUCUACACAGAACAUAGAACCUUCAAGAGUUCUCGAAGAGGGAUAAGUGGAAGAACCCUUACUGGUUCUAGAUUUAACCUUUUUUUUCUAAGAGAUAGAGGUGAGAAGUGAUAUUCUUAACAAAUAUUAUAGUUGAUACACUUUCAAAAAAUGUUAACCUGUAAGGGUUCUUCAGGUGUUCCUCUGGGGAAAAAACCAAAAAAGUUCUAUAAUAAAGUGUAUUCCUAUCAGAAAGUGUUCCUAUAAGAAGCAGAACCUCAAUUAUCCAAAGAACGCUUGAAGAACCUUUUUUUUUUUUUUCUAAGAGUGUGUGUAGGAACCGGGUAUGUGUACGCUACAAACUCCAAAUUAUUGUUCCUUAUUUUAUUGUCAAUAUCUUGAACCUGUCAGGAGUUUAACAUUUAGAAACACUUUUUGUGUACAUAGAACAGAGUCAGAAGAAGAACCCUUUAGUGCUCAAAAUCUUCUAAGAGCAUAGAACCUUUAAGGUUGUCUUAAAAAUAAAAUUAAAGGUGACAGAAAGUCUAUCUUGGUACUUGUUGCACUCCUAGAGUAAAAGGGUUCUUCCAGGGUUCUUUAAGGGUUUGUUGGAUAAUUAAAGGUU